This 253-nucleotide ribosomal RNA is filed under the name uncultured bacterium. RNAcentral's name for it is "partial 16S ribosomal RNA". It matches the Rfam family "Bacterial small subunit ribosomal RNA", at positions 524 to 776 of the family's 1533-position model. The record is from RNAcentral.
GACGUAGGGCGCGAGCGUUGUCCGGAUUUAUUGGGCGUAAAGAGCUCGUAGGCGGUUUGUCGCGUCGUUCGUGAAAACUCACAGCUUAACUGUGAGCUUGCGGUCGAUACGGGCAGGCUAGAGUUCGGUAGGGGAGACUGGAAUUCCUGGUGUAGCGGUGAAAUGCGCAGAUAUCAGGAAGAACACCCGUGGCGAAGGCGGCUCUCUGGGACGGUACUGACGCUGAGACGCGAAAGCGUGGGGAGCGAACAGG